RNAcentral lists this transfer RNA (76 nucleotides) under Bacteroidetes bacterium HGW-Bacteroidetes-11. Its description in RNAcentral is "tRNA-Lys". It matches the Rfam family "tRNA". From Rfam's summary of the family: Transfer RNA (tRNA) molecules are approximately 80 nucleotides in length. Their secondary structure includes four short double-helical elements and three loops (D, anti-codon, and T loops). Further hydrogen bonds mediate the characteristic L-shaped molecular structure. tRNAs have two regions of fundamental functional importance: the anti-codon, which is responsible for specific mRNA codon recognition, and the 3' end, to which the tRNAs corresponding amino acid is attached (by aminoacyl-tRNA synthetases). tRNAs cope with the degeneracy of the genetic code in two manners: having more than one tRNA (with a specific anti-codon) for a particular amino acid; and 'wobble' base-pairing, i.e. permitting non-standard base-pairing at the 3rd anti-codon position. Lineage: Bacteria; Pseudomonadati; Bacteroidota. The record is from RNAcentral.
CUCUCCGUAGCUCAGCUGGUAGAGCAAAUGACUCUUAAUCAUUGGGCCAUAGGUUCGAAUCCUAUCGGGGAGACAA